CCUACGGGGGGCUGCAGUAGGGAAUAUUGCACAAUGGGGGAAACCCUGAAGCAGCGACGCCGCGUGGAGGAUGGAGGUUUUCGGAUUGUAAACUCCUUUCGUUAGAGAAGAUAAUGACGGUAUCUAACGAAUAAGCACCGGCUAACUCCGUGCCAGCAGCCGCGGUAAUACGGAGGGUGCAAGCGUUACUCGGAUUCACUGGGCGUAAAGAGCGCGUAGGCGGGAACGCAAGUCAGAUGUGAAAGCCUAGGGCUUAACCAUAGAACUGCAUUUGAAACUGUUAGUCUAGAGUAUGGGAGGGGUAGGUGGAAUUCUUGGUGUAGGGGUGAAAUCCGUAGAGAUCAAGAGGAAUACUCAUGGCGAAGGCGACCUGCUAGACCAUAACUGACGCUGAGGCGCGAAGGCGUGGGGAGCAAACAGGAUUAGAUACCCGUGUAGUC
RNAcentral lists this ribosomal RNA (440 nucleotides) under uncultured bacterium. RNAcentral describes it as "partial 16S ribosomal RNA". It matches the Rfam family "Bacterial small subunit ribosomal RNA", at positions 338 to 795 of the family's 1533-position model. The record is from RNAcentral.